AACACCUGGGAGAGAAAAGGAAAAGACCCCAUGAGUGAAGGGUCAGCAUGCGGCCCUGGAGUUGCCGCAAGUUGGGAUACUGCCCUGCCCAGCUUUGGGGGCCACCACGAGGGAGUUAGAGGAGGUCCUUCCCACUGCCCACGCCUGCCCCGGCGCAGACACCUGAUGGCAACUAGCAUGCUGUAAACACAUUUUGAUCAGUCAAGAGGAAAGGAAAUGAGCCAGUGGCCCAAAAGUUAGAGACACCAUGACACGGAUUCCCACAAAAUCUUCACACUGGAUUACUCCGUUUUUGCCAACCUUUGUCUAAUGGGCUCUUUUUUCUUUUUUAAUUAAUUUUUGUAUUUGGCAGUUGGGUUAAAAGUCAACAGGAGUUGACUGGUGGUGGUGGUGGUGGUGGUUCGAUUCUGUGAGGUUGUGGAAAGCAGGUCCACAGAUAACGUCCACCAUCUGUGUGGCAUCUGCGUGGGUUGUCUCUGGGUAUUCUGGUUUUCUCCCGCGUCCCAAAGCUGUGCACUUGAGGUUCAUUGGUGUGUCUGCAGGGUCCCAGUCUGAGUGCAUGUGAAUGUGUGUGAGCGUGCCCUGCAAUGGCAUGGUGUCCUGUCCUGAGCUGGUUCCUGAUGCAUAGUUCUCCUGGCCCUGCAAUGGUUGAGCACAGACCCUGCUAAGCAGCCGUGCUGGGGAGUGGACUUCAACCUCAUGUGGCUCCAGCCAGCCUGGAACAAACGCCCCCAAUGUGUAGAAGCCAGCCACCUGGCCGACAGUCACCCUCUAGGAGCUAAGAAGAGUUUGCAUACCUGACAGCAGGUCAGCCUGGAAGCACCAUGAACUCUGUGCCAACACCGUGCCAGCACUGUGCAGACAGGGCACAGCACCGAGCUCAGCGCCCCGCAAGCAAGGUCCUGUUAAUUUCCAGGCCAGCUCUUCCCCCACCGGCCCCGCAAGCCUUCAGGGUGCCUCCCGCUCCGUGGCCCACCCCGCUGCCUGCCUCCUUCUACUGAUCUGUCAGCUCCGAUCUGACUCAAGGACCAAGGCUUAGUCGUCCUUCUACCUGCUCGGGUUCUUGCACAAGAAUAAACAAAUCGAUAAAAACCCUGGAUUGAGAGAUAAAGUUAAAAAAGACCUCAGAGUGGCCUGGUGCUGCGGCUUGCUCUUCACAGCCGGCCUCUCACUGGAGGAGGGAUCAGGGCGGGUCUCUGCUCCGCACUGCGCUGGUAAGAGCCUGGGAAGAGAUGCUGUCUGUGGUGAGCACGUGAUAGACAUUCCACGACCCGACCUGUCGGUGCCCUGGUUCUCAUUGUUUCUUCUCAUUUCCAGCUGCAUUUAUCUCUUGUCUAACUUGGGCAGUGUUAAGGGCACAACUGUGUUUAGCCCAUUAGCCAAUUUGUUUUCAGAUAAUAAUGCAAAUGGCUGUUACUCCCAACACACCUAACAAGACUGACAGCCAAUCUCAACUGCUUCUGUGUUUUCCUAUGGAUAUUUCUUCUAAAGAACUCCUAACUAUCUCUCUCCCUGAUGCCACAGAGCUCACGGCAGGCCCUGCCAUCAAGUUAGGGGACCCUGGAAGCCCCUGGAAGCCCUAGGCCGUAACUGCCUGACUGAGCUCCCUGUGGCUCUGCAAGGAACUGGGGCCAUCUCAGAGCUGCGUCCCAGUCUGUGGCCCCAGAAUCCCAACUAAAUGAAGUGCAGUCUCCCUGAGCAUCUCCACCAAGCCACGCAGGUGCUGCCAGAUUCAAAGGCAAUACACAGGCAGGAGUGAGUUACCUGUAUUAAAUCACAAACUGUGUGGCGAAGAUUCUAAGUGGAAAAGAGUGUUUUUACAAAUGGAUAGGCGGGUGAAGACACAGAACCUGCCAUGGGUGGGGGUGGGCAAGCUACAGGUGACAGGUGGGGAGGGAACAGCCUCUGCACACCAACAGAGACAGGAUGAACAUCACAUAUGCAGCAGACACGGCCAGAGGAUGACGCUGCACACGUGAGCAGGGUCAGGAGGUACACACGUACCACAAGCAUGAAGCACCUCCUACGUGCCUGACUGGGCGAGGUCCCAGCUGCCCUCAGAGGGUGUACGGUCCAGUGAGGCCAGCAGACACAUAAGCCAGGGAGAAGGAGCCCCAGGGCAUAGAGGAGUGGGACCCAGCCAGGCAGGCGGUCAGGGAAGGCUUCCUGGGGGAGGAGACAUCUGAGGUGAGUCUGGAAGGAAGAGGCAGCCAAGCUAGAGAGGAUGGAGGAGGGGGGGACUUGGUGUGGAAGAAAAACAGGAAGAACUACACAGGUUCUCAAGCCAAAGGGUGGCAACAGAGCAAGGAGGGCCUGGGAGCAGCAGGGUGUGGGGGGGAGGGGUGGGGCAGAGGCCACACCCAAUGGGACAGGGCGAGGGCCUGGCCUUAAGCUGGGCAGGGAUCCUGAUACUCUUGGACAAAGGAGGCUAUUUAUUUAUUUAUUUAUUUAUUUAUGAGACAGAGUCUCGCUCUGUCGCCAGGCUGGGGUGCAGGGGGGCUAUCUCAGCUCACUGCAACCUCCGCCUCCCAGGUUCAAGCGAUUCUCCUGCCUCAGCCUCCUAAGUAGCUGAGACUACAGGCACGUGCCACCACACCCAGCUAAUUUUUGUGUUUUUAGUAGAGAUGGGGUUUCACCAUGUUGGCCAGGAUGGUCUUGAUCUCUUGACCUCAUGAUCCGCCCACCUCAGCCUCCCAAAGAGCUGGGAUUACAGGCGUGAGCUACCAUGCCCAGCCUACGAGACUCUUUAAAAACUAAUAUUUCUUAAACUAAAAAAGUUAUUUAAAAAGGAAUAUACAUUUGUGGUGACAAAUUCAAAUAACAAGUAUUUUAAAAAUCUAGAUGACAACAAACCUUUAAACCUUGGAAUCCCCUGAUUUAGCAAUUUGGAAUCAAUAGGCAGGAGUCAUUUUCAAAUCAAGAAAGAUCAGAAUUUGGUAACAGACUGGAUGAGACUGAUAAAGGAGAGCGCCCACAAUGACUCUCAGGGUUCCCUGGAAGGGACGGGGGCGGGCAUACUGCGGUGCUACAGAAGGUGGCAGCAGCAGGUCCCAGGGCUCCAGUUACAGCAGCUCAGACCUGCACUCAUGCCAAGGACUCUCACAGACCCUUUCCCUGCAAUGAUUUCACUGAGUGCAGACUCCAGCAGGUGCGCCCACAGCGCAGCUCCUGCCCUCAGGACCUCUCAGGCAGUUGGGGGCAGAGGCACCUCUGUGCAGGGGCCUGUGUUCACUCUUCUGCAAAUGGCGAGUGGCAGGCUGGGAAUGAACCUCAGGGCUGUGCCUUCCUUAAGCCUGGACUGUUCCACUGUAUCAACAUACCUGCCUCACACAAACAAUUCUACCAGCACGGGAUCAGUAAUAUUUCAUACAUCAGAGGUGUGUGAGAAACUAAUUUUGCCUGGAAGAGGGGUCAGGGCAGGCUACAGAGAGGAAGGUGUGCACAGGUGAGGCCUUGAGGGGUUGGGAGGCAGGGAGGGGAGCUGCUUUCCAGGCAAAGGGAACGAGGAGAAGAUUUCCACAUAAAGAUCUGGGCCUUGGCACCUCACUCCUGGCAGCCUGUCUGUAAUUCACUCUGGUCACCCCUCUGUGGAGCAGUGUGCCUGCCUCAGUCAUCUCUGUUGAUGAUUUAAGCCUAGCAGCCUUCAGCCAAAUGUGGCAACUGUGUAAGCCAAUACCCAGCUAGCUCCUGGACCACUCGGAUGCCCAUCAACAUGUACGAGGCUGGGGUUACUUCUCCUGGGAUCCCAGAAAUCCUCAGAUUUGCACGCAAUGCAAAUGGGCAUUCGGGGGGGCCUGUGGGUGGUCCCGAUUCUGUUCUUGGGAGCGGGAGUGAAAAGCAAGCCUGUCGUGGGGAAACUGGCACCUUCACUGGUGGCCACGCUGCUGGGGCUGGGCGUGAAGCUGCCUCCGGCCCUUGGAGAGGAGUGUGAGGGAAGGGAGGCGGCAGUGCUUUUUAUACACAGGAGCUGGAGGAGGGUGAUGGCAGCUUGGAGGAAGUCAUCACUGCCAUGGUAGGGGGGAAAUCUGGAAAUAUUGGGCAUGUGGCCCUCCCCUUCCCACCGUAACCCCAAGCUCCUCAGCCCACUUCUUUCCACCAGGCACCUUUGGGCUUCCCUCUAGGUGGAACAGCCAAGUCCUGAGUCUCUUUGCUCAGAAGCUCAAGUGAUUCAAUUUCUUUUCUCCAAACUUUCCCAAGACUGCAAUACCUCUUGGAAAGGACGUGACCAAAUGUGGCUGAGACACACUGGGCAGAGCCGCACUACUCAUUUAUGCAAAACCAUUACUCUGGCCGCCGCAUCAGUCUCCCUUCCCCUUUUCAGCAAUCAUGUAUCCCAUUAGCCUGUUUGAUUGCCGCUGCUCACAAAGGGGCGCCUUCGCUGAACCGUCUUCAAUGGCCUCUGGAUCUCUCCCCUGAGAGAAGCCGGCUAAUUUGGAAUGUGGUCGUGUGUAUGAAUCCGACACAGCCUCAGUCACAAUCGGGUGUCCUUUUCUGUAGCUGCUGUUUAUGAUCACUUUGCCUUGCCUCUCUGGGAGCCAUAAUUCACCACAUACUGGAGAUAGGCUGGGUGUUCUUUUCCCCGUGAAUCCUGGACAGGAUGUACACAAAUGUGCUAGCCCCUUCUUGGUGACCAGGCUAAUUCCUCAGUGGCUUGGUGGCUGCUGCCUCUCAUUAGAGGGAUUCCCUAAGCACUAUUUGCUUGACAAAUUUUCAAGGUUUUUAAAAGCAGAAGCCUUUGCUAAUUUUCCCAAGUUGGCCUAAGAGUCCACUGUGAACUGCAGCAGAAAUUGGGGAAAUUUAAUAAAUGUUGAUCAAUGACUCUGCCUUGCUUUCCUGGUUCCUCCUGAAUAAUUUCCACAGACUGCUUUCAUGCCAACCAAUACAAAUAGGAUUUCUGAUCCAAGUUUUCAACUUACAAAUACAAGUUGACAAAUCUUUAUAAAAUAGAUAUCUACCUCUUGAUGUCUGUCCAUAAGUCAGAUGCAAAGCCAUGACUUCUAACUUACACUCCCCUAAAGAUCCCCUAUUUCCCUUUCACAGUGGCUGAUGUGGUGGCAUCACACACCCACCCAGCGUUCAGUGACAUAACAGAUCCUGACGAUGGUCACCAUUAACAUCUCUCUUAUGCUCGCCUCAGAGCAGAAGGUAACAGUCCAUCUACAGACUGCAGAGAUGUUUUGUUUUUGUUCUUUAAAAAUGAAGACGAGUGCCUCCAACAAAAUAUCCCUUUUGAUAAACCUUGGUUUUUUAUGUGCAUCUGAACAGCCCAACACAUUGUUUUCAGUUAGGGGCCGGGCAUGGUGGCUCACACCUUAUAAUCACAGCACUUUGGGAGGCUGAGAGAGGCGGAUCACUUGAGGUCAAGAGUUCGAGACCAGCCCGGCCGACGUGUCAAAACCUGGUCUCUACUAAAAAUACAAAAAUUAGCCAGGUGUGGUGGCAGAUGCCUGUAAUCCCAGCUGCUCGGGAGGCUAAGACAGGAGAAUUGCUUGAACGUGGGAGGCGGAAGUUGCAGUGAGCCGAGAUCGCGCCACUGCACUCCAGCCGGGAGACAGAGCGAGACUCUGUCUCAAAGACAAACAAACAAACAAACACAACAAAAAACAAAACUAGGAAUUACUUCAUAGGGAGACAUUUCCAAAUUGCGAGCAACAAAUUUUCAGUAUUGCUUAGGGUGAUAGGAUACCCAAAUAUUUUUGCACUAAGUAUGGAGGUAAGUUUCUGGGUGACAAUGCUUAUGUACGGCAACAGCUUUUAAAAAAACUUUACAAUAUCAUUUUCUCAUAUUCACAUAGGCCAGGAUAUCCACAGAUAAUUGGAACUCUGAUGCUUGGAAGGUUCUGGAAGAAGAGGCUUUCCAAUCCCUAUCACCCCAGGCAGCCCUGGAAUUCCUGCCCUGUUUUUUAUGUGUGUACACUCCAGAGUUCCAGGGAGAGAGUUACUUUCUUGUCUUAAUGGAUUCGGCUAUAGAGUGGUAGAGGUAUCUUUUAGUUAUUUUUUUGAAAAACUAAGAAACAAAAAAAGGGAAGUGUUCUUGUUCGCAGGCUUCUGGGAUGCCUGAAUCUCCCCACCUGAUAGAUGUGGCCUCACCAGGGCCCCCUUCCCACACCAGACAGGCACCAAGAGAGCCUAGCCAUGGCCCUGCUCUCCCCACAGGGCUGGCCCAUGUGUCUCCAGCUGCCUGGGCGGUUCUUCACUUUGUGUGACCAGGCUCCGCAUGUACCUUCUGUCUCAAAGGGCUCCAGCUGCGUCGAGGCUUCCAGCAUCACCCCUCACUGCUGGCACAGCAAUGGGACACAUCUGAGGGGACCCUCACAAGCUGCUGUCUCCAUGCGUCUCACUGCUGGGAGGCUCCUGGGUACUCAUCUGCCCAGGUCUGGGGUCACUUUCUCCCAGGCCAGUUGAGGAUGGAGAAUUAUUGUUGCUCCAAUAUGACAGGUCUAAGGAUUGUGCAGUGUCUGAAACAACCAUAUGUGCUCAAUGUUGUCCUGCUUUUCCUCUCUUUUUUUCCAAUAAAAUCUUUCAUAACAAACAUUUAAAUAUAAAGAAGCCCACAAAAGGUCUUCUUUUUUUUUUUUUUCUGAGACAGAGUCUUGCUCUGUCGCCCAGGCUGGAGUGCAGUGGCACGAUCUCGGCUCACUGCAAGCUCCGCCUCCCGGGUUCAUGCCAUUCUCCUGCCUCAGCCUCCUGAGUAGCUGGGACUACAGGCGCCCGCCACCACACCUGGCUAAUUUUUUAAUUCUUUUAGUAGAGAUGGGGUUUCACCGUGUUAGCCAGGAUGGUCUCGAUCUGACCUCGUGAUCUGCCCGCCUCGGCCUCCCAAAGUGCUGGGAUUACAGGUGUGAGCCACCGCGCCCGGCCUAAAAGGUCUUCUUUUAUAAUUAUGAAACAAACUAAAUAUUUUUCUGCCUUUUUUCCUGUCUCACUGGGAAGGAAGCUUUAAGAUCUAGUUCACUCUCCUUAUUUCAAAGGCAAGUGUCCUGAGAGGCAGGGAGGUAAAAUGACACUGGGGCCACACAGCUGGCUGGAGGUGAAGCUGGCACCAGUGCCGAGGCCCCCUCCCUUCCUUCCACUCACUGCUCGCUCCCCUCAGUGCAUCCUCUGCCUCCCUGCCUGCCCAGUGCUGGUUCAUGGAACCAGCUUCUAGAGCCUCCACACCCCUUUCUUCUUAGCCUGGCUCUUCUGAGGCACCUGGCUUUGAUCAUUAUCUGCAGGUAUAAUCCUUAAAUCCAAGUUUUUGUUUGGAUGGCUCAGCUUUCACUGCCUCUCCCCCAGCCUAUAUUUUUGUGCAACCGAAUGCUUCCAGACUCUCUCAUAACCAUCAGAGCUCUGCCAUUCUCCAAGGGCAUGGCAGUCACAGCCUUGAUGCCAUCUUCAGUUAUUCCUUCAUCUGGCUUCAGGCUGUCACAAGUGAUUCCUGAGAGCUCAUUCCCUUUGGAAUCCCACACCAACGCUCUGGCCCAUGGUCUGAUUUAUGGAGGGGUUACUGUGUGCCAGGCACUGGGCUGGGUGCUGAGGACACAAAGAUGCUACAACACAGUCUCUGCUCUCAAGAACUGCAGUGUGGUGGGGAGCCAGUCAGAACCUCCUGCUUUUGAAGUUUCCAUGAAUGUAAUCCUAGUAUACGUAUUCUUUGGUGUCUGGCUUCUGUCCUUCAACACGCCGUUAUGUUCAUCCACCCACAGUCCCUGCAGCCUGUUGUAUGAGAUGCUGUGUUUGCUUACCCAUCCUCUGUGGAUGGACGCUCGUGGUAUCCCGUUGGGUUCAGGAUGAACAAGGCUGCGGUGACAGCAUCCUCACUCUUGCCUCCUAAACUGGUACAAUGCAGAUUCACAGGUACCAGGCUGCCCGCUGGGCUUGACUAUCCCGGCUGUCCCUGCACUGCCUCCUCUCUGGCCCAGUACCUCGCAUGCACCAUACAGGGCCUCCGUGCUGCCAUCUGAAACCUAAGUUUGUUUCCAUUAUUUCUAUUCCCAAGCAGGUUUUCUUUGUGGGCAUCCAUUUCCAGUUGCUGGAACAUGAAGCCCCUGGAGGGCCAGGUUCCCUCCCACACAGAAGUGGAGUCUGAAGGCUGGAACUGGUGCUCUCUGCAGACCAGGAGCUUUUGCAAGGAGAGGGCUGCCUCUCCAUUUGCUCUCUCUGUGCUCUGCCACAGAGCACAGAGAGCGCCCACUGGGGGUUCUGGCCCUGGGGCCAGCAUGUGACUGCUUUGAGGUGCUUCUGGGCUGAGACGAUGGUCCUCUGGAGGAUGCUGCCGGGGAAAUCCUCGGGGGGCCAGAGAGAGUGGAAUCAGACCUGGGGCAGGGGGACCUCGGAAAUAAUUAUCACCAUGCCAGGAAGGAGCACUUGUUUCAUUUUUUUCUUUAAGAGUCUGUUUCCCUGUUUUGUUUUUUUCCAUUAGAGCCACAUGUUGCUAUGGGAACGAGGGUGGCAUGGGAGCCCAGAGCCACUCACUGGUCUGACCGAAGCCAGUAAAUAAAUUCUGCCUCACUCCAGGCCCUGAGCCGAGUGGUCCUGGAGGGCAGCUCAAGUAGCCACUUGCAGACUUUCUGUCCUGCUGCUGUCGGCCCAUGCAGAUGCUCCUCUGACACGCUCGUGGGCUGAUCACUCUCCUUGGAAUAAGGAGCGGUGAGCCUGCAGAGUGCUCUGCACCCUCCCACCCUCCCAGGUCCUCUAAGACAUAAACUCAUUCAUGGCUCCCAAACUCCAAGGGCCAGGAUCACUCGAUCCGUUUUACAGAUCAGGACUCACCCUCCUCCUUCAGGGCUGGCUGCUGUUUUCAUUCACUGAUGUCUCUACCAUCAAUCAGGUACAGCCAUUUGAAAUCUCACCCAGAGUUAAGGGGCUUUUUAAUGGGGAUUCAUUUCUACCAGGUGGUGAAGCUGCCAUCCCCUUAAGGAAGGGUCCUGCCUCAGUUUCUCCCCAAGAUCUAGCACAAACUGGUGUACACAGCAUGCUCAGAGCCACCUGCUUAUCAAUGCCUGACUCAUAGAGUUCUGGGCCAGGGUGCAGCUGGGCUCAUUUUGCACAUUGCCGUCUAUUAUGCCUUUGUGGGAGACGCAGUGGCCUCGAUGUUACAGCCAGACUGCCUGGAUUCACAUUCUGAUUCUGCCACUCAAGACUGGGUUGAUCUCGUACAAAUUAGUUAACGUCUCUCAGCCUCGGUUGCCUCUAAACUUUUUACUGCCAAAACUGUAUGCUAUAAGGCACAGUUUUCCCAUAGAAAUACCAUGUGGGACAAGAAACAGUGGUGCCUCCCCCUCACUGAGGAAACCCCAAUUCUGGCUCAGAUAAGAUUUGUCCCCUUGCUUUCUUUUUCUUAGCAGUUUUACCACUUGUGUAUGCAUGAAUGUUGUAGUAAAGCUUUGCCUGCUUUUGAAGUUUCCAUGAAUGUAAUCCUAGUAUACGUAUUCUUUGGUGUCUCGCUUCUGUCCUUCAACACGCUGUUAUGUUCAUCCACCUACAGUCCCUGCAGCCCGUUGUAUGAGAUGCUGUGCUUUGCUUACCCAUCCUCUGUGGAUGGACGCUCAUGGUGUCCCGUUGGGUACAGGAUGAACAAGGCUGCGGUGACAGCAUCCUCACUCCUGCCUCCUAAACUGGUACAAGAGCUUCGUUGGAGAAUACAGAUAGGAGUGGAAGUGAAUGCUCAGCCAUAGGGUGAAUGUGUGCAUAUGCUCCUUUAGGACAAAACACCAAACUCUUCUCCAGAGUGACAGGGUCAGUCCAUCUGCCCACAGCACUGGAGGAGAACUGCCCACUGCUCCACAAUUUUGCCAACACUUAGUAUUGAGUUUCCUCAUCUUUAAAAUGAGGAUGAGAGUGGAACCUACUUCAUAUAUGAGGAUUAAAUCAUGUAAUAAAUAUAAAGGGCUGGAAGAUAACCUGGCACACAGUAAGUGCUCAGCAAAUACUAGCUACUAUUAUUGUAAUUAAUAAUAAUGAUGAUUAUUAUAAGGGUCCUAAGCUAGGAGAUGCUGAGAUAUCUGGUGCACAUACUUUUCCAUUUACAAAUGUUUCUGGUUUAAGAAAAUCCUCCAUAUGACUAUAGAAACUCUGUAUUGGAAUGCCACGGCCUCUUGAUAAUGAAAAGUUGGUUUACUACAUCUUUUCCUUUAUUGCUUUCUUUGACUGACUGACUGGGAGAGGGAGAGAUGGGUGUACAGAUGAGAUCACUCACCCAUUCAUUCAGUUAACAGGUCCUCUAUGCUUACACAUGCCAGGCACCACGCUAGGUGCCAGGGAUACAAAGAUGAAUAUGACACAGCCUCUCUCCUCACUAUAUAAAUUCAGUAAGUAAAAUGGAACCUGAGAGCUGCCUAAAGCCUGUCAAUACCAUCCUCAGUUUCUGCUAUUGACUUGGUAAAAGCUUUCAUGUAGGUUCUUGUGAGCAGAAACCCUGUCUUUCUGAAUACAUUGCAGAGAAUUUCCUUUUCCUACAGUCCUUUUUAACCCUCAAGACUGCUUGUGGGCCCCUGAGCUCCCAGCGUACUGAAAAAAAUCACUCCAGAACUUUCAAACCCACGUUUUUAUAAAAGCCAUAAAAAGAAACAGGCGUAGCUUCUGUUUCUUGAACAUCACUGCCUGAUUUUCAUGGGUGCACAGACUUGAUCUUAUUUACUCCCAGCCGGGUUUAUUUAAGGAUGUAGGCAUGUGCCUUUGCUAUUUGCUCAGAUAAUUAGUAACAUGAAAUGGAAGGGUUUCUGGGAGACCCCGCACAUCAGAACCAGUGUGGCUCUGAGCACAGUCUUGGGGGCUGAAACUAAAGACUCCCUCGACGUUUGUUAACGUUGUUGACAAGGCCCAGUUUAUUUUAGACGUGAGAAACUUAGAAGAGGAGCAGUGUCUGUCUCCCCAGUGGCUCAGAGUUGAUUAGCAUUGAAGGCAGGUGAACGACCACACAGGAAUGACCAUGAACUUGCUAAGCUGGCAGCCGAGACCACCUUAAAGUGACUGAGGAAAUGGUCAAGAAGGACCUCCUUGGCCACAGGCAGUGGGGACAAUCAGAUGCAUGGAAACAAUGGAAGCGGAGGGUGGAUGUGCUGAAAGACACACCGACAUCUGUCUGCCAUCUAGUGCUGAGCAUGGGAGGAAGACAAAGGAGUCGGGGGAAGCGUUUGAGGGUAAAGAAAAAGCCACACGUGAGCACUGGGCCAAGCACAGGGGAGCUUCCAGAGCCAGGCGAGCAGGGAGCAGAGGACGACAGAAGCACACAGUGGGGGGGAGUGAAAGUGGAGUGUGCUGAGGAGUUCAGAUAAAUGAUAAGGAUGAUGCUGAGUACACAAGGAACAGGGGUCACAGAAGGAAGUGGUGGAGUCUUUAACAGGUAAGCAUUGGGGGAAUUUACUGACAGAAGUCAUAAACAUAGCUAAAAAAUUAAAUGAAUUCGUUGCUGCGGUGCUCACAAAGGAAGAUGAGAGACAGAUGCCAGCAGCAGACGUACACUUCCCAGAGGAGAGGGAUGGAAUGCCGCAGGAAAUCAGAAGCGUGCCAGAGCAGGUGAUCAAGAAAUCUACACUCUCAGACUGCCGAGGCCACUGUCACCUGAGAGCUGGACGGAUCGGAGGGAAGCGGGGAAAAUUAGCAUGCAGCAGACGGAGACUGAGCCUUUGGAUGCAGGAAGACCUGGCCGACUGGAGCAAGACAGAUGCACACCUACAGCAGGCAAGAAAUCCCAGUCCGCCUUAGCUCAGUCAGGCCAGCCUGGGGGGCCUGCUUCCACGCACUGCCUGCUGUCCGCCUUCUCCUAUUCCAGCAGCUGCCGGGGGUGUUUGGAGUUCGGGGCAGUUUCCAUGGUCCCUGUUGCAGAGCUAUCAACCCACUGAGCUCCUGCCUCCAAGAAUGACUUCAGGUCUCUCUAAACAGCCAGCUGCUCUGCUAGCUGCUACUUACACACUGUCCAGGCCACUUCCCAACUUUUGCCAAACUGCCCAGCCACCAUCUUCUCUUGAAUGCUCUUCCAUAGGAGCCUCCAUGCUGCGCUUCCCCACCAGUCCCUGCUCUGCCCGCCUCUCUCUUGAUGGGGAAGCACCUGCAGAAGACAGGCCUACCUGGGCCAUUCGGCAAAGCGUGUGUUCACGCAGAUUUCCCUUUAUUGUACACACACAGACAGACCUUUCCAUGCCAUAGACCAAAUCCAUCGAUAGUUUUUGAAGCUAGCACAAAGUCUCUGGGUUCACAAACACUGAGUAGCUAAAGGGAAACAGAGUGUUUCUCUGGCUCUGACUAAAACGAAGGCCACUGUUAUGGACUGAUGCUUGUGUCCCUCCCAAAUUCCUCUUUGGAAGCCCUAAUCCCUAAUGGAAUGGGAUUAGAAGUGGGGUCUUUGGGAAAUGAUCAGGUUCAGCGGAGGUCAUGAAGGUGAAACCCCCGUGAUGGGAUUGGUGUCCUUAUAGGAAAUGAGACUGAGCGCUCAUGCCUGCGCCCUCUGUCACUGUCUCUCGCGAAGUGCACACACCAAAGAAGGCCGUCUGAGGACAGAACCCAGAAGACGGCCCUCACCAAGAACCAGAGCCUGCUGGCACCCUGACCUCAGACUCCCAGCCUCUGGGACUGUGAGAAAUCAAUGUGUUACUUUAGCCAACAGAAUAGCCAGCUGAGACAGCUGCUGAUGUUACUUAGCAAACAAGCAGGGACAGACAGAGGAAACCCUGCAUCCUCUGCCCUCCAGGCCACGCUCCAUAGUGAGAGAGGUACCCUGACCCCUGUUUUUGAUGGCACAGUUCUGGCUCCCAUGGGACUGUGAAUCAGGGUGGUGCUGCACUCUCAUCUCCAGCCUCCUGUCCUAUGCUGCGGCCCUCCCCAGCUCCACGAAGUGCUCUUGUCCAUGCGGUCAUAUCCUCUAGAGCUGUCUCUCCCAGGAAUCCUGCCUGACCCAAGUCAUCCUCCUUCCCUGAUGUGACCCCGUCCCUCACGCCUCUGAACUCUGCCAUACUGGCUUACACAUAUUUCCAUUGUUCUCUAAGAUAGGUGUUACAACAUUUUUCAAAUAAUGUCCCAGAACCCAGUAUGCUGCAGUAAAGAACAUUCUCUGAGGGUUUGCUGUAUUCUUGAUGCCCAAUAAAGUUCAGCUUUAUUGUA
Long non-coding RNA from Homo sapiens (human), 13077 nucleotides. RefSeq lists it as uncharacterized. The transcript has 2 exons. NCBI's taxonomy places the organism in Eukaryota, Metazoa, Chordata, Mammalia, Primates, Hominidae. The record is from RefSeq and is a predicted model, not a curated record.